Molecule: non-coding RNA, 28 nt
Filed under: Homo sapiens (human)
Lineage: Eukaryota; Metazoa; Chordata; Mammalia; Primates; Hominidae
Source: RNAcentral
UGGAUGGAGAAGAAAGGUGGACAGCCUG